AUUGAACGCUGGCGGAAUGCUUUACACAUGCAAGUCGAACGGCAGCACGGGGGCAGCCCUGGUGGCGAGUGGCGAACGGGUGAGUAAUACAUCUGAACGUGCCCGGUCGUGGGGGAUAACGUAGCGAAAGUUACGCUAAUACCGCAUACGAUCUGAGGAUGAAAGCGGGGGACCUUCGGGCCUCGCGCGAUCGGAGCGGCCCAUGUCAGAUUAGUUAGUUGGUGGGGUAAAGGCCUACCAAGCCGACGAUCUGUAGCUGGUCUGAGAGGACGACCAGCCACACUGGGACUGAGACACGGACCAGACUCCUACGGGAGGCAGCAGUGGGGAAUUUUGGACAAUGGGCGAAAGCCUGAUCCAGCCAUUCCGCGUGCAGGACGAAGGCCUUCGGGUUGUAAACUGCUUUUGUACGGAACGAAAAGGAUCUGGCUAAUACCUGGGGCUCAUGACGGUACCGUAAGAAUAAGCACCGGCUAACUACGUG
This 484-nucleotide ribosomal RNA is filed under the name uncultured bacterium. Its description in RNAcentral is "partial 16S ribosomal RNA". It matches the Rfam family "Bacterial small subunit ribosomal RNA", at positions 30 to 507 of the family's 1533-position model. The record is from RNAcentral.